RNAcentral lists this ribosomal RNA (173 nucleotides) under Paenibacillus barcinonensis. RNAcentral's name for it is "partial 16S ribosomal RNA". It matches the Rfam family "Bacterial small subunit ribosomal RNA", at positions 1 to 164 of the family's 1533-position model. The record is from RNAcentral. Lineage: Bacteria; Bacillati; Bacillota; Bacilli; Caryophanales; Paenibacillaceae.
CUUUAUUGGAGAGUUUGAUCCUGGCUCAGGACGAACGCUGGCGGCAUGCCUAAUACAUGCAAGUCGAGCGAACUUGAAGAGAAGCUUGCUUCUCUGAUGGUUAGCGGCGGACGGGUGAGUAACACGUAGGCAACCUGCCCUCAAGCUUGGGACAACUACCGGAAACGGUAGCU